CCUCAAAUUGCAUUUUACUUCCCACGACUUGCUAUAUUUCUGAAGAUUUCUGCAAUAACCCUGGCAUUACGCUUAUAAUGGAGACAGACGUGAUGCUUGCUGGAUCCUGAGCAGACGUCCUGGACCAUGAGAUGGCAUGAGCAACCAGUUUUGGACUGCCUAUCUGCAUGGUACGUGCUGGAUAGCUAGUUUGUACAACCAUACCCUAAACACCCCUGCUAAUAACUACCUUGAGAAUGUAGGGAUCCCGUCCUCCCUUAUAUUCCCAUCAAGCAUAAUGUGCAGAAGAAUGUGUCGUUCAGCAUUCAAGGUCAGGAGCUCUGGAUAUGGCCAACCCACAGCGUCUCCCUUGUAACGAAGAAUGUCAAGUUCGCAUGCCUUGAUCUUGGAACGCUGGCCGUGCACAGAGGGGAGGGCUAAGUUGCUAAGCUACAAAAGCUUGCUGCAUGUAGACCCCAGCAGUGGAUGCUUUAUCCAGUCAGCCACUCCUGGACUCCCCGCACAAAAGUUGCCCCAAUAAACCUGUAUCUUGA
Leopardus geoffroyi (Geoffroy's cat) is the source of this 533-nucleotide long non-coding RNA. RefSeq lists it as uncharacterized. The record is from RefSeq and is a predicted model, not a curated record. NCBI's taxonomy places the organism in Eukaryota, Metazoa, Chordata, Mammalia, Carnivora, Felidae. The transcript is spliced from 2 exons.